CAACUAACUGAGUGUCACGAUCAGACACAAGUGGAGUUCACUGAUCAGAAUCAAACACAAUGGCAGAUGAUUAUUAUUAUCAUAUCUGCUCUGAUGAACGGGCUUCUGAUCAUUGUGGUGAUCGUUUUUGCUGCUGGAAAAGCACAACAGUUGGAAAAACAUAUUCAUAAUACUGAUCUGCAAACACGAGUUAUAUAUCAACCAUAAGAACCAAACCAAUUUCUUCAAUUGUAAAAGUAAUAUCUGAGUAUUUGGGACACUUGUUACACUUCUUACUCCAGUGAAGUCUGUAAAAA
Long non-coding RNA from Cyprinus carpio (common carp), 296 nucleotides. RefSeq lists it as uncharacterized. The transcript is spliced from 3 exons. The record is from RefSeq and is a predicted model, not a curated record. NCBI's taxonomy places the organism in Eukaryota, Metazoa, Chordata, Actinopteri, Cypriniformes, Cyprinidae.